UGAACAGGUGGGACAUCUACAGCUCCAUCAGGUGAAGCGUCUUCAGCUGUUUGGUCUCCCUUCAAAGACGUCACGCUGGAAAGCUGAGUUUUACUUUCUCAGGAGAAACGAGAAACUCAAUAGAGACUAAAAUUCCAUAUAGGAGAUGUUGGUGAAAUGCUACUUCUCCACACCAUUCCAGUCGAAGUUAUGAGUGAAGCUUAACUGUUGCCAUUGCAUGUGUGACAAAGGGGAUGAGUUGUUUGUCCAUGGGACUCAGUCAACCAGUGCAGAACCAGAAAGUUACCCACAAUGACAUCAAGACAUCGUUCACCUCUUCCAGCUGAGGAGUCUCUUGUUCUCAUCACUAAUCAUGGUGGACUGUUUCCCGUGUUAUCCGAGGGACAGACCAUUGCCUGCUCCAUCCCUGAUGACAAAGGGGCACAGAUCUCCUGGCCACGUCUUUGCUCCGGACAAGUGAAGUCAAUGGGAUUGCAUCCUGCCUCUGAUCAGCUCCAAAGGGUGACAGAUCAGAGGGAGCUCCCAUCUCCUUGCACUGUCCUCAUCUGUCUCCUAUGCUCCUGCCUGGUCUUGCUCCAUCAAGACUUGCCUCCUCAGAGCAGCCAGUAUUCCAAGGCAGAUACUUCUCAGAAUUGAUUUAACCGAGUGACUUUCAACUGUUUCCAUUCUGGAAGAACUAAGAAAUUCUUUGUCCGUCCCCUGCCUGAGCCAUCCACGUCCCUGGAACAUUCUUGUUUAGUCUCCUGAAAUGUUAUUAACAACCCCAGCG
This is a long non-coding RNA of Gallus gallus (chicken), 769 nucleotides long. Lineage: Eukaryota; Metazoa; Chordata; Aves; Galliformes; Phasianidae. The record is from Ensembl.